RNAcentral lists this long non-coding RNA (765 nucleotides) under Anas platyrhynchos platyrhynchos (common mallard). RNAcentral describes it as "lncRNA (ENSAPLG00000018247.1)". The record is from RNAcentral. Lineage: Eukaryota; Metazoa; Chordata; Aves; Anseriformes; Anatidae.
CUUUUGGAAAUGCUUGGAAUGCAAGUGUCAACAAUACUAGAAGAUAUUAUGAAAGUAAAAUCUUGUGACCAUGGUGAAACUUCCUAUGGUAGAAAAUGUAUUUUUUUUUCUUUUUUUUUUUUUUCCUAUUUUCUUUUUCAAUAUUCUCUUGCAGAUCAUCACGUUAGAAGUGGUCCUGUAUCCUGACCAGGAGGAACUAAUUGUUAACUGCACAGAACAAAACAACUGUUCCAUUGCAACAGUUCUAAUUAGAAGUGAUCAGAGGAAAAGCAAAGAAAGUCAUUGCCUGAGGGACAGAUUCUGCUGCCAUUCAUAGAAUCAUAAAAUAACAAGUUGGAAUGGAUUCAUAAGGAUCAUUGAGUCCAACUCCUGGCACCACACAGGUCUACCCAAAAGUUCACAUUGUAUGACUAAAAGCAUAGUCCAAAUGCUUCUUAAACUCUGACAGGCUUGGUGCUGUGACUUCAUCCCUGGGAAACCUGUUCCAGUGUGCGACAACCCUCUCAGUGAAAAACCUCUUCCUGUUAUCCAACCUGAACCUCCCCUGUCACAGCACGACUCCAUUCUCUUGAGUUCUACCACUGAUCACCGUUCUUCAUACAAAGCCUCUAUAGACCUCUGUAGGCAUUUCCAGUGGAAAGAGAUGACAGGACACAGAAUUUCAUGAUGAUAGGCAACAGAAGAGUUAACACCAGAGACCUCUUACAGUCUGCUGAUUCAGCCACAUCACUUCUGAAUUAUCAAUAAACAACAGUGUUGAAAUCA